CCUACGGGAGGCAGCAGUGAGGAAUAUUGGUCAAUGGACGAGAGUCUGAACCAGCCAAGUAGCGUGAAGGAUGACUGCCCUAUGGGUUGUAAACUUCUUUUAUAUGGGAAUAAAACGUUCCCCGUGUGGGAUUUUGUAUGUACCAUAUGAAUAAGGAUCGGCUAACUCCGUGCCAGCAGCCGCGGUAAUACGGAGGAUCCGAGCGUUAUCCGGAUUUAUUGGGUUUAAGGGGAGCGUAGGUGGAUUGUUAAGUCAGUUGUGAAAGUUUGCGGCUCAACCGUAAAAUUGCAGUUGAUACUGGCAGUCUUGAGUACAGUAGAGGUGGGCGGAAGUCGUGGUGUAGCGGUGAAAUGCUUAGAUAUCACGAAGAACUCCGAUUGCGAAGGCAGUUCACUGGACUGCAACUGACACUGAGGCUCGAAAGUGUGGGUAUCAAACAGGAUUAGAUACCCGAGUAGUC
Molecule: ribosomal RNA, 460 nt
Filed under: uncultured bacterium
Lineage: Bacteria
Description: partial 16S ribosomal RNA
Rfam family: Bacterial small subunit ribosomal RNA
Source: RNAcentral